This 764-nucleotide ribosomal RNA is filed under the name uncultured Acidobacteriota bacterium. Its description in RNAcentral is "bacterial SSU rRNA". It matches the Rfam family "Bacterial small subunit ribosomal RNA", at positions 32 to 774 of the family's 1533-position model. Lineage: Bacteria; Pseudomonadati; Acidobacteriota. The record is from RNAcentral.
AACGCUGGCGGCGUGCCUAACACAUGCAAGUCGAACGCGAAAGCCCCGCAAGGGGCAAGUAGAGUGGCGAACGGGUGAGUAACGCGUGGGUGACCUGCCUUCGAGUGGGGGAUAACGUUCCGAAAGGGACGCUAAUACCGCAUAACAUCCCGCCUUUGGACAGGCGACGAUCAAAGCCGGGGACCGCAAGGCCUGGCGCUUGAAGAGGGGCCCGCGUCCGAUUAGCUAGUUGGUGGGGUAACGGCUCACCAAGGCGACGAUCGGUAGCCGGCCUAAGAGGGCGGACGGCCACACUGGGACUGAGACACGGCCCAGACUCCUACGGGAGGCAGCAGUGGGGAAUUGUUCGCAAUGGGCGCAAGCCUGACGACGCAACGCCGCGUGGAGGACGAAGAUCUUCGGGUCGUAAACUCCUGUCGAGCGGGACGAAUGUCCUGCGGGUGAAUAAUCCGCGGGAAUGACGGUACCGCGAGAGGAAGCCCCGGCUAACUCCGUGCCAGCAGCCGCGGUAAUACGGGGGGGGCAAGCGUUGUUCGGAAUUACUGGGCGUAAAGGGCUCGUAGGCGGCCGACUCAGUCAGACGUGAAAUCCCUCGGCUUAACCGGGGAAUGGCGUCUGAUACUGGUUGGCUGGGAAUCCGGGAGAGGGAUGUGGAAUUCCAGGUGUAGCGGUGAAAUGCGUAGAUAUCUGGAGGAACACCGGUGGCGAAGGCGGCAUCCUGGACCGGCAUUGACGCUGAGGAGCGAAAGCCAGGGGAGCAAACG